CGGCGGACGGGUGAGUAACGCGUGGGUAACCUGCCUUAUACAGGGGGAUAACAGUUAGAAAUGACUGCUAAUACCGCAUAAGCGCACGGGAACGCAUGUUUCUGUGUGAAAAACUGAGGUAGUAUAAGAUGGACCCGCGUCUGAUUAGCUAGUUGGUGAGGUAACGGCCCACCAAGCCGACGAUCGGUAGCCGGACUGAGAGGUUGGACGGCCACAUUGGGACUGAGACACGGCCCAGACUCCUACGGGAGGCAGCAG
RNAcentral lists this ribosomal RNA (258 nucleotides) under uncultured bacterium. RNAcentral's name for it is "partial 16S ribosomal RNA". It matches the Rfam family "Bacterial small subunit ribosomal RNA", at positions 96 to 354 of the family's 1533-position model. The record is from RNAcentral.